Molecule: ribosomal RNA, 570 nt
Filed under: Triticum aestivum (bread wheat)
Lineage: Eukaryota; Viridiplantae; Streptophyta; Magnoliopsida; Poales; Poaceae
Description: partial small subunit ribosomal RNA
Source: RNAcentral
AUGAUUGGAGGAGAAGACGAGGGGAGAAGGCGACGGCAGAGGCGGAAGAGUCAACGGAGUUCGCGGCCGUCGGUGGUGCUCGCCGAACCGGAGCAGCCUCGCUGGAGCGCCUACAGAUUGAAGGCGAUUUGGCGAUGCGCCGGCAUUGCCGCCGGCGGCGGAGUCCUAUGCUUGCCGUUUUCGGUGGCACUGGGCAGUUUCGUCGCCGCCGCAGUGGCUAUCUCGCCGGAGAAAAAGAAACGUACUCGCAACAGGGCCUCCCAGGAACGACUAACUUCAUUGACUGACAGAUUUACCGAUGAUCAGAAGGGAGCUACUGCUGAGAUGGGUAUGCAGGCUAUGAUGAAUGUCCGGUGCACGAAUCUAGUCAACCCUGUAUGUGACUGGCUUGGUGAGAUUUGCGACCCCUCCUCCAGGGAAUUUGCGAUUCCGGGACGUGGAAGACUGCCGUUGAACGAGGAAUCCGUGUUCUGCACUUUGGGUGUGCCCAGUGGACAAAUCAAAGUCCCAUAUGAGGUCAAUAACAAGAUCGAGGAAACGUUGUUCCCCCGUUUUCUUCCUGGGUUGUAA